AUUGAACGCUGGCGGCAGGCCUAACACAUGCAAGUCGAGCGGAUGAAGGGAGCUUGCUCCUGGAUUCAGCGGCGGACGGGUGAGUAAUGCCUAGGAAUCUGCCUGGUAGUGGGGGAUAACGUCCGGAAACGGGCGCUAAUACCGCAUCCGUCCUGAGGGAGAAAGUGGGGGAUCUUCGGACCUCACGCUAUCAGAUGAGCCUAGGUCGGAUUAGCUAGUUGGUGGGGUAAAGGCCUACCAAGGCGACGACCCGUAACUGGUCUGAGAGGAUGAUCAGUCACACUGGAACUGAGACACGGUCCAGACUCCUACGGGAGGCAGCAGUGGGGAAUAUUGGACAAUGGGCGAAAGCCUGAUGCAGCCAUGCCGCGUGUGUGAAGAAGGUCUUCGGAUUGUAAAGCACUUUAAGUUGGGAGGAAGGGCAGUAAGUUAAUACCUUGCUGUUUUGACGUUACCAACAGAAUAAGCACCGGCUAACUUCGUG
This 484-nucleotide ribosomal RNA is filed under the name uncultured bacterium. Its description in RNAcentral is "partial 16S ribosomal RNA". It matches the Rfam family "Bacterial small subunit ribosomal RNA", at positions 30 to 507 of the family's 1533-position model. The record is from RNAcentral.